GAGGACAUACAAGUAGAGAGAUACUAUAGAGCAGAGAAACAGCAUCACCAUGAUCGCAAAGAUUUGUGUCAUCAUUAUUCUUUUUGUUGUCUACUGCAACGCACAGAGUGUACCUGUAAUUGCUUCAACAACAACCACAACUGCAGCAACAAACACCACAGCUGCUCCAACA
Long non-coding RNA from Oreochromis niloticus (Nile tilapia), 172 nucleotides. RefSeq lists it as uncharacterized. The record is from RefSeq and is a predicted model, not a curated record. NCBI's taxonomy places the organism in Eukaryota, Metazoa, Chordata, Actinopteri, Cichliformes, Cichlidae. The transcript has 3 exons.